CAUUUCAUAUUCUCACAUGGCGACAGGAAAGACUAGUAAUUAUUAAGAACUUGGUAUUUCAAUUGCCCUACUCUUGGUACCAUCAAACUGUCUUUCCUGCCGUCCAGUCUUUAAAGAUGGGUAGUUUGCUAACUCCUCCUCCUUCCAUAUGCUUUACUCGAGCGAAAACGGCGACGAGGAGCCAGGCAGCCCGGCUGUCAGGCAGACUCAGAGAGAGACUCGUAGAGAGAGACACAGAGAGAAGAGAGCAGAGACCUCACUCACCUGGGAAGGUUCCUACAAUUUUGAUUCGUCCGACAUGCCUGUCUUAGGCUAAAGGCUUUUAUUGGGAUCCCUGGUCUACGUCACCCUCUUGUGAACAUCUGCCAAAAUCCAUCUGUAACGCCUUUGUGCAUGGUUCGACAAUGGUGAUUUAGCUUUCGGACUAGUAACUCUAGCUUAUUCAUAAAUUCACCUUGUUAACGCUUGGGAUGGUGUUUGGUUUCGGUGUAUCGGCC
Macrobrachium nipponense is the source of this 497-nucleotide long non-coding RNA. RefSeq lists it as uncharacterized. The transcript is spliced from 3 exons. Lineage: Eukaryota; Metazoa; Arthropoda; Malacostraca; Decapoda; Palaemonidae. The record is from RefSeq and is a predicted model, not a curated record.